AUGACGCUGCGUCGAAGGCGUGUGGGUGGCGCCCGGCCGGAGGGGCCGAGAGGCGGGGGCGGCGCGGGGCGGGAGGAGGCAGAGGGCAGGGCAACACCCCUCCGCCCCCUCCCCCGCGCCUCUAUUCUCCCCCUCCCGACACCCCCUACCUUCCUCUCCUCCCUCCCCGCCCCCACAACUGGGCUGGUCCUCCUCCAUCCACUCCUCCCCCCAUUCACUCCUCCCCUCAAGCCCUCUCACCUCCCCUUCCCUCCCCCAUCCACUCCUCCCCACAUCCCCUCACCUCCCUGUCCCUCCCCGUGCCCCAAUCCCCGCAAACCUGGGCUGCUCCUGCCCCUUCCACGCCUUCCUGCUCCCUCCCUCCCUGUCCCCUUCCCCUCCUCCCCACCCCCAUCUCCCCUUUACCCUCUUUCUUCCCAAACCCCUCUUCCUUCCUCUCCUUCCCCACAGGCCACUUCUCCUUUCCCCCUCCUGGCCCCCUGUCUCCUCCUCCCAUCCCCCACCCCGGCUUUAGUCUCCCAUCCCCCCUACACCCCCUUGCCUCUGCCUCCUCACAGCCCCCUACUUAUCCUAUUGCCUCCCUCCUGGGGCCCCUUCAGAUCCCUAGGGCCUCUUUGUCUCUCUCUGUUUUCUCCCAUUCCAGCCCCUGAUGACCAGGCCCCGCACCUCUGCUGGGGUCUGCCGCACACAGUAAGCUGCCUGGGAGUCCUCAUUGCCUUCCUGGGCAACCCAGCUAAAGGCCGCCCAGCAGCUGCAGCCCUGGAGGUCAGCGCAGCCCUGGCUGACGUCAGGGGCCCCUCCUCACCGCCCACCUCUGCACCUUCCCCAUCCCUUUGCCUGGUGUCCGGGAAAGGCCCCGUAGGAUGGCAUUCCUUUCCCAGGGUCUCCCUCAGGAAAGAUGAGAGGAAGCAAAAGCUCAGUCUGCACACAGGGCUGGUCCUCCCGACGGCCACAUCCGCAGGGAUGACCCUCAGAGGUGCUCCCAACUGGCUGGGAGGUUCCUCCACCUGGGCGCUCUGCUACCCAGCCGGGUCAAGGACAAACAGCCAUGUACAAAAUGGCAAGAGGCGGACCUUCCAGAGCAUGUAUAUGUGCAUAUUCACUCCUUCAAACCUCACAACUCCAUCAGCCAGGCACUUUUAUUAUCCCCAUAUUACAGAUGACAAAUCUGAGACCAAAGAUGAAUCAGCUUGGCAGUGUUCACAGAGCCAGCCUGUGGAAAAGCCAGAAUCCAGAAUCCAGUCCCAGGCCCUGCCUGCAGCAUCCCGGCUCUUACUGACACCUAAACGGCCACUGCCUCUUGGCUUAGUGCUCUUCCUUCUAAAAAACCAGUUCCAGUGAGCCCUGGAGACCAGGCUACAUUCUUCAGGUAUGAUGGAUUUUCUGGUUGGAGAAAGUUGAUAAUUUUAAUUGCUGGAACCAAACUGAUUUAGUUGCUGAGCCUGGGCUGAGUUUGGCUUGGCCGAGUCUUCCAUAAGGAACAAAAGGGUACAGGAGGUGUGCAUGGCUGGUAGUGACUAGAAACCCAAGCCAGAUAGCCCCUGCACUGAGCGGAUCCAGGAUACAUUCUCAGACACCUCUCCUGUUCUCCCCCAACCCUGACCCCUUACUAGCCCUUUCACUGGCCCACUUCACUCCCGCAGUUGAGACCCUGCACCAGUAUUCAUUUCCACCCUUUGCUGUGCUCAUUACCCAGCAUUUGAUGAGUGUCAUUCAUUCAUUCAUUCAUUCAACAAACACUGAGCCUCUCCGGUGUGGCAGAUACUAUGCCUUGCUGAUGUUAAAGGCGUAUCCUUAGCCUUGAGAAGCUUCCAUCUGCCCAGCACCCAGCUCAAGGGGCCCAAGAGGCCACCUAAGUUUCUGUCUGGGUAAUAGAUCCC
Callithrix jacchus (white-tufted-ear marmoset) is the source of this 1880-nucleotide long non-coding RNA. The record is from Ensembl. Lineage: Eukaryota; Metazoa; Chordata; Mammalia; Primates; Cebidae.